AGAGUUUGAUCCUGGCUCAGAACGAACGCUGGCGGCGUGCCUAACACAUGCAAGUCGUACGAGAAAUCCUGGGCAACUGGGAAAGUAAAGUGGCGCACGGGUGAGUAACGCGUGGGUAACCUACCCUUGGAUUUGGGAUAACUCCGCGAAAGCGGGGUUAAUACCGAAUGAUAUUCCGAUCUCUAAGGGGAUUGGAAUCAAAGAUGGCCUCUGCAUGCAAGCUAUUGUCUAAGGAUGGGCCCGCGUACCAUUAGCUAGUUGGUAGGGUAAUGGCCUACCAAGGCAACGAUGGUUAGCUGGUCUUAGAGGAUGGCCAGCCACACUGGAACUGAGACACGGUCCAGACUCCUACGGGAGGCAGCAGUGGGGAAUCUUGCGCAAUGGGGGAAACCUUGACGCAGCAACGCCGCGUGGGUGAUGAAGGCCUUCGGGUCGUAAAGCCCUGUCAGGUGGGAAGAAACACAUCGGUGCUAAUAUCACCGAUGUUUGACGGUACCGCCGGAGGAAGCACCGGCUAACUCCGUGCCAGCAGCCGCGGUAAUACGGAGGGUGCAAGCGUUGUUCGGAAUUACUGGGCGUAAAGCGCGUGUAGGCGGUCGGGCAAGUCAGAUGUGAAAGCCUUCCGCUUAACGGAAGAAGUGCAUUUGAAACUACCCGGCUGGAGUACGGGAGAGGAGAGUGGAAUUCCCGGUGUAGAGGUGAAAUUCGUAGAUAUCGGGAGGAACACCAGUGGCGAAGGCGGCUCUCUGGUCCGAUACUGACGCUGAGACGCGAAAGCGUGGGGAGCAAACAGGAUUAGA
This 800-nucleotide ribosomal RNA is filed under the name uncultured bacterium. RNAcentral's name for it is "bacterial SSU rRNA". It matches the Rfam family "Bacterial small subunit ribosomal RNA", at positions 8 to 782 of the family's 1533-position model. The record is from RNAcentral.